Long non-coding RNA from Micropterus salmoides (largemouth bass), 207 nucleotides. RefSeq lists it as uncharacterized. The record is from RefSeq and is a predicted model, not a curated record. Lineage: Eukaryota; Metazoa; Chordata; Actinopteri; Centrarchiformes; Centrarchidae. The transcript has 3 exons.
UAGACACAGUUAUGAAACUACGUUACCUCUACAAGUACAGGUGAAAUCAGUUGUGGUUGAUCCCAGUCAGCACACCUCCAGCAGUAAACCAGUUACGCCUCCUCUGUCAGAGCACAAUGCCAAGCCAAGCCCAAAGGAGAACAGAGGCCUUGUGAGGAGACAAAGGCCGGUGAUCUUCGACAGGGAGGUGGACUGGGAGCGUGGAGA